RNAcentral lists this ribosomal RNA (428 nucleotides) under uncultured bacterium. RNAcentral describes it as "bacterial SSU rRNA". It matches the Rfam family "Bacterial small subunit ribosomal RNA", at positions 355 to 776 of the family's 1533-position model. The record is from RNAcentral.
UAGGGAAUUUUGCGCAAUGGGCGAAAGCCUGACGCAGCGACGCCGCGUGGGUGAUGAAGGCCUUCGGGUUGUAAAGCCCUGUGGGGAGGGACGAAUAAGCGUCAGCUAAUACCUGGCGUGAUGACGGUACCUCCUUAGCAAGCACCGGCUAACUCUGUGCCAGCAGCCGCGGUAAGACAGAGGGUGCAAACGUUGUUCGGAAUUACUGGGCGUAAAGCGCGUGUAGGCGGUCGCAUAAGUCGGAUGUGAAAGCCCUCGGCUCAACCGGGGAAGUGCACUCGAAACUGUGUGACUGGAGUCCCGGAGAGGAUAGUGGAAUUCUCGGUGUAGAGGUGAAAUUCGUAGAUAUCGAGAGGAACACCGGUGGCGAAGGCGGCUAUCUGGACGGUGACUGACGCUGAGACGCGAAAGCGUGGGGAGCAAACAGG